Molecule: long non-coding RNA, 96 nt
Organism: Adelges cooleyi (spruce gall adelgid)
Lineage: Eukaryota; Metazoa; Arthropoda; Insecta; Hemiptera; Adelgidae
Exons: 3
Source: RefSeq, a predicted model, not a curated record
GCAUUACUAAUUUUCUUAUGGCUGUACCGGACGAAACAGAUAUUUUAUCCAAUACAGCGGUUCCAGCUUACACAUUCAGAGAGGAGCCAACGGAAA